Molecule: ribosomal RNA, 497 nt
Filed under: uncultured bacterium
Lineage: Bacteria
Description: partial 16S ribosomal RNA
Rfam family: Bacterial small subunit ribosomal RNA
Source: RNAcentral
GAUGAACGCUGGCGGCGUGCCUAAUACAUGCAAGUCGAGCGAACAGACGAGGAGCUUGCUCCUCUGACGUUAGCGGCGGACGGGUGAGUAACACGUGGAUAACCUACCUAUAAGACUGGGAUAACUUCGGGAAACCGGAGCUAAUACCGGAUAAUAUAUUGAACCGCAUGGUUCAAUAGUGAAAGACGGUUUUGCUGUCACUUAUAGAUGUAUCCGCGCCGCAUUAGCGAGUUGGUAAGGUAACGGCUUACCAAGGCAACGAUGCGUAGCCGACCAGAGAGAGUGAUCGGCCACACUGGAACUGAGACACGGGCCAGACUCCUACGGGAGGCAGCAGUAGGGAAUCUUCCGCAAUGGGCGAAAGCCUGACGGAGCAACGCCGCGUGAGUGAUGAAGGUCUUCGGAUCGUAAAACUCUGUUAUUAGGGAAGAACAAAUGUGUAAGUAACUAUGCACGUCUUGACGGUACCUAAUCAGAAAGCCACGGCUAACUACGUG